GAUGAAGAACGCAGCGAAAUGCGAUAAGUAAUGUGAAUUGCAGAAUUCAGUGAAUCAUCGAAUCUUUGAACGCACCUUGCGCCCUUUGGCCAUUCCGAAGGGCAUGCCUGUUUGAGUAUCAUGAACACCUCAACUCUCAUGGCUUGCCAUGAUGAGCUUGGACUUUGGGGGUCUUGCUGGCCUGUGGUCGGCUCCUCUCAAAUGAAUCAGCUUGCCAGUGUUUGGUGGCAUCACAAGUGUGAUAACUAUCUGCGCUCGUGGUUUCCAUCAGAUAACCUCCAGUGAUGGAGGUUCGCUGGAGCUCAUAAAUGUCUCUCCUAAGCGAGGACAGCUCUUUUAAUGUUUGCUCUCAAAUCAGGUAGGACUACCCGCUGAACUUAAGCAUAUCAAUAAGCGGAGGA
This 401-nucleotide unclassified non-coding RNA is filed under the name soil metagenome. RNAcentral describes it as "partial contains 5.8S ribosomal RNA, internal transcribed spacer 2, and large subunit ribosomal RNA". The stretch from base 1 to 121 matches the Rfam family "5.8S ribosomal RNA", at positions 35 to 154 of the family's 154-position model. The record is from RNAcentral.